Molecule: small nuclear RNA, 24 nt
Filed under: Arabidopsis thaliana (thale cress)
Lineage: Eukaryota; Viridiplantae; Streptophyta; Magnoliopsida; Brassicales; Brassicaceae
Description: snRNA_05290
Source: RNAcentral
ACUUCGCCGUCGGCGACUUGAGCU